CUAGUUCGACAGCGGCAA
This 18-nucleotide unclassified non-coding RNA is filed under the name Chlamydomonas reinhardtii. RNAcentral's name for it is "small RNA Cre_1432". Lineage: Eukaryota; Viridiplantae; Chlorophyta; Chlorophyceae; Chlamydomonadales; Chlamydomonadaceae. The record is from RNAcentral.